RNAcentral lists this ribosomal RNA (118 nucleotides) under uncultured bacterium. Its description in RNAcentral is "partial 16S ribosomal RNA". It matches the Rfam family "Bacterial small subunit ribosomal RNA", at positions 339 to 458 of the family's 1533-position model. The record is from RNAcentral.
UUACGGGAGGCAGCAGUGGGGAAUAUUGGACAAUGGGCGGAAGCCUGAUCCAGCCAUGCCGCGUGAGUGAAGAAGGCCUUCGGGUGUAAAGCUCUUCAGAUGCGAAGAUGAUGACGUA